UACGGAGGGUGCAAGCGUUAUCCGGAUUUACUGGGUUUAAAGGGUGCGUAGGUGGGCAGGUAAGUCAGUGGUGAAAUCUCCGAGCUUAACUCGGAAACUGCCAUUGAUACUAUCUGUCUUGAAUAUCCUGGAGGUGAGCGGAAUAUGUCAUGUAGCGGUGAAAUGCUUAGAUAUGACAUAGAACACCAAUUGCGAAGGCAGCUCACUACGGGAUAAUUGACGCUGAGGCACGAAAGCGUGGGGAUCAAACAGG
Molecule: ribosomal RNA, 253 nt
Filed under: uncultured bacterium
Lineage: Bacteria
Description: partial 16S ribosomal RNA
Rfam family: Bacterial small subunit ribosomal RNA
Source: RNAcentral